Molecule: ribosomal RNA, 414 nt
Filed under: uncultured microorganism
Description: bacterial SSU rRNA
Rfam family: Archaeal small subunit ribosomal RNA
Source: RNAcentral
GUGCACCAGUCGAGAAACCUCCGCAAUGCGGGAAACCGCGACGGGGGGACCCCGAGUGCCGUGGCAACGCCACGGCUUUUCCGGAGUGUAAAAAGCUCCGGGAAUAAGGGCUGGGCAAGGCCGGUGGCAGCCGCCGCGGUAAUACCGGCGGCCCGAGUGGUGGCCGCUAUUAUUGGGCCUAAAGCGUCCGUAGCCGGGCCCGUAAGUCCCUGGCGAAAUCCCACGGCUCAACCGUGGGGCUUGCUGGGGAUACUGCGGGUCUUGGGACCGGGAGAGGCGGGGGGUACCCCUGGGGUAGGGGUGAAAUCCUAUAAUCCCAGGGGGACCGCCAGUGGCGAAGGCGCCCCGCUGGAACGGGUCCGACGGUGAGGGACGAAGGCCAGGGGAGCAAACCGGAUUAGAUACCCCGGUAGU